Hyla sarda is the source of this 228-nucleotide long non-coding RNA. RefSeq lists it as uncharacterized. The transcript is spliced from 3 exons. The record is from RefSeq and is a predicted model, not a curated record. NCBI's taxonomy places the organism in Eukaryota, Metazoa, Chordata, Amphibia, Anura, Hylidae.
AGAACACCUGUGAGAUCCAGACAAGAUGCAGACAGCUUGCAGCCUCUUCAGGAGAAGCAUUCACAUGCACAGUGACAAGAAAUUCAAGGUCCUCAGAUUCCUGACUGUAUUUUGCUGCCUCUGUGCAGUUUCUUCUUAGCCUAAGAAAUUGACUUCUAGGGAUGUUCUUCAGCCAAAUUGCUCCAUACAUCAAAAGGAAGACACAUGUCCGUCACUCCUUCAAAAACG